GACGAACGCUGGCGGCGUGCUUAAUACAUGCAAGUCGAACGAUGAAAGCUGGAGCUUGCUCCGGCUGGAUUAGUGGCGAACGGGUGAGUAACACGUGAGUAACCUGCCCCUCACUCUGGGAUAACCUCGGGAAACCGAAGCUAAUACCGGAUACGACCCUCGGAGGCAUCUCCAGGGGGUGGAAAGAAUUUCGGUGAGGGAUGGACUCGCGGCCUAUCAGGUAGUUGGUGAGGUAAUGGCUCACCAAGCCGACGACGGGUAGCCGGCCUGAGAGGGUGACCGGCCACACUGGGACUGAGACACGGCCCAGACUCCUACGGGAGGCAGCAGUAGGGAAUAUUGCACAAUGGGCGCAAGCCUGAUGCAGCAACGCCGCGUGAGGGACGACGGCCU
RNAcentral lists this ribosomal RNA (393 nucleotides) under uncultured bacterium. Its description in RNAcentral is "bacterial SSU rRNA". It matches the Rfam family "Bacterial small subunit ribosomal RNA", at positions 28 to 417 of the family's 1533-position model. The record is from RNAcentral.